Molecule: ribosomal RNA, 478 nt
Filed under: uncultured Acidovorax sp.
Lineage: Bacteria; Pseudomonadati; Pseudomonadota; Betaproteobacteria; Burkholderiales; Comamonadaceae
Description: bacterial SSU rRNA
Rfam family: Bacterial small subunit ribosomal RNA
Source: RNAcentral
CAAAGGAAUUGACGGGGCCCGCACAAGCGGUGGAUGAUGUGGUUUAAUUCGAUGCAACGCGAAAACCUUACCCACCUUUGACAUGUACGGAAUCCUUUAGAGAUAGAGGAGUGCUCGAAAGAGAGCCGUAACACAGGUGCUGCAUGGCUGUCGUCAGCUCGUGUCGUGAGAUGUUGGGUUAAGUCCCGCAACGAGCGCAACCCUUGUCCUUAGUUGCUACAUUAAGUUGAGCACUUUAAGGAGACUGCCGGAGACAAUCCGGAGGAAGGUGGGGAUGACGUCAAGUCCUCAUGGCCCUUAUGGGUAGGGCUUCACACGUCAUACAAUGGUCGGUACAGAGGGUAGCCAACCCGCGAGGGGGAGCAAAUCUCACGAAACCGAUCCUAGUCCGGAUUGUAGUCUGCAACUCGACUACAUGAAGCUGGAAUCACUAGUAAUCGCGGAUCAGAAUGCCACGGUGAAUACGUUCCCGGGUCUU